CUGACCUCAAAUCAGGCAGGAUUACCCGCUGAACUUAAGCAUAUCAAUAAGCGGAGGAAAAGAAACUAACAAGGAUUCCCCUAGUAACUGCGAGUGAAGCGGGAAAAGCUCAAAUUUAAAAUCUGGUAGUCUUUGGCUGCCCGAGUUGUAGUCUGGAGAAGUGCUUUCUGCACUGGACCGUGUACAAGUCUCUUGGAACAGAGCGUCAUAGAGGGUGAGAAUCCCGUCUUUGACACGGACUACCAGUGUUGUGUGAUG
RNAcentral lists this ribosomal RNA (258 nucleotides) under Albatrellus ovinus. RNAcentral's name for it is "partial 28S ribosomal RNA". It matches the Rfam family "Eukaryotic large subunit ribosomal RNA", at positions 1 to 251 of the family's 3401-position model. The record is from RNAcentral. Lineage: Eukaryota; Fungi; Basidiomycota; Agaricomycetes; Russulales; Albatrellaceae.